RNAcentral lists this long non-coding RNA (779 nucleotides) under Rhinopithecus bieti (black snub-nosed monkey). RNAcentral's name for it is "lncRNA (ENSRBIG00000045374.1)". Lineage: Eukaryota; Metazoa; Chordata; Mammalia; Primates; Cercopithecidae. The record is from RNAcentral.
CCACUCCAGGGAAUGCUUCUUUAGCCAGGGGAGCCAACUGGUCUCUUUCAUGUAUUAAGUAUUGUAAGCUAUUCAAAAUAUGAAGAACAAUUUUCCACAUCUAAGCCAACAUUUCUGUUACAAUUGAUAAAGGAAGUGAUUCUAGAAGAGUUAAUUGAAGUGUAUCUCAUCUCCUUCCCAGUAACAGUAUGUAGUUACUGUUUCACAAGUUUCCUCCAGACCAAAUAUUAUUUUGAAGAAUGCAUCAGUCCACGAUUUGAGUUCCUUGGUGUUCUGUUUCAUAAGAAUUUUGUGUAAUUCCUAUAAUACAGUAGUGCUUUAUUAUGUUUGAAUGGACAAAUCAAGAUAACUACCUGGAAAAGAGAAAACUGAGAUCAGGAUCUAUACCAAUUCCUGGGCAAAAGGCUAAUGAUCCAAUGGGAUGUGUAGUGACUUUGAAGGGGAAUCUUUACUGGACCAGUGCUUAUUGUUUGGAUGAACGGAGGCAAGAUGGUGCACUUCCGGGUUCUUCAUCCCCCCCAACUUUUCCGGCACGCGAGAAAAUGCAGCCGGCGACCCGGGAAGGUGCAGACCAACUAGGCAUGCGCCAGGUGAUGUCAAUCCGAAGAGACCAAGAUUUACCUGGUCGCACCUGCGGAACACCCCCCGACACACCCGUGCCCCGCCUAUCGCCCUCCCACUCCUAGAAAAGCCGCUCUGGACGAAUGCCACGCACGGACUUCCCAGCUUCCCCACUGCGGUCGGGACUGUGGGAACUCCGUCCGAGAGCUCCAUGGGCG